This 476-nucleotide ribosomal RNA is filed under the name Fusarium proliferatum. Its description in RNAcentral is "eukaryotic LSU rRNA". The stretch from base 110 to 263 matches the Rfam family "5.8S ribosomal RNA". The record is from RNAcentral. Lineage: Eukaryota; Fungi; Ascomycota; Sordariomycetes; Hypocreales; Nectriaceae.
UGUUGCCUCGGCGGAUCAGCCCGCUCCCGGUAAAACGGGACGGCCCGCCAGAGGACCCCUAAACUCUGUUUCUAUAUGUAACUUCUGAGUAAAACCAUAAAUAAAUCAAAACUUUCAACAACGGAUCUCUUGGUUCUGGCAUCGAUGAAGAACGCAGCAAAAUGCGAUAAGUAAUGUGAAUUGCAGAAUUCAGUGAAUCAUCGAAUCUUUGAACGCACAUUGCGCCCGCCAGUAUUCUGGCGGGCAUGCCUGUUCGAGCGUCAUUUCAACCCUCAAGCCCCCGGGUUUGGUGUUGGGGAUCGGCGAGCCCUUGCGGCAAGCCGGCCCCGAAAUCUAGUGGCGGUCUCGCUGCAGCUUCCAUUGCGUAGUAGUAAAACCCUCGCAACUGGUACGCGGCGCGGCCAAGCCGUUAAACCCCCAACUUCUGAAUGUUGACCUCGGAUCAGGUAGGAAUACCCGCUGAACUUAAGCAUAUC